This is a long non-coding RNA of Pundamilia nyererei, 341 nucleotides long. RefSeq lists it as uncharacterized. NCBI's taxonomy places the organism in Eukaryota, Metazoa, Chordata, Actinopteri, Cichliformes, Cichlidae. The transcript is spliced from 4 exons. The record is from RefSeq and is a predicted model, not a curated record.
CACACCACAUCUGUUCUCACUGUGCUGUUGUCUGUUGGAUCAGUCUGUGUUGUGGUUCUACUGGUGUUACUGGUUCUGCUGCUGAGAUGGCGUGCUCAUAGGAAACCUGAAGCUGAAAAUCCUGAAGAAGUCCAAGAAAACCAAGUCACCUACACUGAGGUCAUUUUAUCAAAUCGUCAGCAAAAACCAGUCAAAUCAAAAAGAGAGAAUGAUCCAGCUGCACUCGAUACAACACAAGAUGUCACUGCUGGGCAGAGAAGAAAAGAGCCAGACGUCGUCUACUCUUCAGUGAAGUAGUCCACCAGUCCAACCACUGACGUCCAGCUGCUGGUCUCUUACUG